GAAAUUAGCGCUGUGGAACCACCCGAUCCCAUCCCGAACUCGGAAGUGAAACGCAGCCGCGCCGAUGGUAGUGUGGUCUAAACCAUGCGAGAGUAGGUCAUCGCC
Molecule: ribosomal RNA, 105 nt
Filed under: Xanthomonas boreopolis
Lineage: Bacteria; Pseudomonadati; Pseudomonadota; Gammaproteobacteria; Lysobacterales; Lysobacteraceae
Source: RNAcentral